UAGUGGCGGACGGGUGAGUAACGCGUGAGCAACCUGCCCCUGUGUGCGGGAUAACGUCCGGAAACGGACGCUAAUACCGCAUAACGCAAUCUGACCGCAUGAUCGGGUUGCCAAAGAUUUAUUGCACAGGGAUGGGCUCGCGUCCGAUUAGAUAGUUGGUGGGGUAACGGCCUACCAAGUCAACGAUCGGUAGCCGGACUGAGAGGUUGAACGGCCACAUUGGAACUGAGAAACGGUCCAGACUCCUACGGGAGGCAGCAGUGGGGAAUAUUGGGCAAUGGGCGAAAGCCUGACCCAGCGACGCCGCGUGAAGGAAGACGGUCCUCGGAUUGUAAACUUCUUUUAUAAGGGACGAAGCAUGACGGUACCUUAUGAAUAAGCCACGGCUAACUACGUGCCAGCAGCCGCGGUAAUACGUAGGUGGCGAGCGUUAUCCGGAAUUAUUGGGCGUAAAGAGUGCGUAGGUGGUAACCUAAGCAGGGGGUGAAAGGCAGUGGCUCAACCAUUGUUAGCCCCCUGAACUGGGCUACUUGAGUGCAGGAGAGGAAAGCGGAAUUCCUAGUGUAGCGGUGAAAUGCGUAGAUAUUAGGAGGAACACCAGUGGCGAAGGCGGCUUUCUGGACUGAAACUGACACUGAGGCACGAAAGUGUGGGGAGCAAACAGGAUUAGAUACCCUGGUAGUCCACACCGUAAACGAUGAGCACUAGGUGACGGGAGAGCAAUCUUUCGGUGCCGCAGUUAACGCAUUAAGUGCUCCGCCUGGGGAGUACGUACGCAAGUAUGAAACUCAAAGGAAUUGACGGGGACCCGCACAAGCAGCGGAGCAUGUGGUUUAAUUCGAAGCAACGCGAAGAACCUUACCAGGACUUGACAUCCUUCUGACAGUUCCUUAAUCGGAAUCUUCCUUCGGGACAGAAGUGACAGGUGGUGCAUGGUUGUCGUCAGCUCGUGUCGUGAGAUGUUGGGUUAAGUCCCGCAACGAGCGCAACCCUUGCCAUUAGUUGCCAUCAUUAAGUUGGGCACUCUAGUGGGACUGCCGGGGAUAACUCGGAGGAAGGUGGGGAUGACGUCAAAUCAUCAUGCCCCUUAUGUUCUGGGCUACACACGUGCUACAAUGGUCGGUACAAAGAGCAGCAAUACCGUGAGGUGGAGCAAAUCUCAAAAGCCGAUCCCAGUUCGGAUUGUAGGCUGCAACUCGCCUACAUGAAGUUGGAGUUGCUAGUAAUCGCAGAUCAGAAUGCUGCGGUGAAUGCGUUCCCGGGUCUUGUACACACCGCCCGUCA
This 1284-nucleotide ribosomal RNA is filed under the name uncultured bacterium. Its description in RNAcentral is "partial 16S ribosomal RNA". It matches the Rfam family "Bacterial small subunit ribosomal RNA", at positions 93 to 1399 of the family's 1533-position model. The record is from RNAcentral.